RNAcentral lists this ribosomal RNA (465 nucleotides) under Vreelandella stevensii. RNAcentral describes it as "partial 16S ribosomal RNA". It matches the Rfam family "Bacterial small subunit ribosomal RNA", at positions 338 to 795 of the family's 1533-position model. Lineage: Bacteria; Pseudomonadati; Pseudomonadota; Gammaproteobacteria; Oceanospirillales; Halomonadaceae. The record is from RNAcentral.
CCUACGGGUGGCUGCAGUGGGGAAUAUUGGACAAUGGGCGAAAGCCUGAUCCAGCCAUGCCGCGUGUGUGAAGAAGGCCUUCGGGUUGUAAAGCACUUUCAGUGGGGAAGAAAGCCUUGGGGCUAAUACCCUCGAGGAAGGACAUCACCCACAGAAGAAGCACCGGCUAACUCCGUGCCAGCAGCCGCGGUAAUACGGAGGGUGCGAGCGUUAAUCGGAAUUACUGGGCGUAAAGCGCGCGUAGGCGGUCUGAUAAGCCGGUUGUGAAAGCCCCGGGCUCAACCUGGGAACGGCAUCCGGAACUGUCAGGCUAGAGUGCAGGAGAGGAAGGUAGAAUUCCCGGUGUAGCGGUGAAAUGCGUAGAGAUCGGGAGGAAUACCAGUGGCGAAGGCGGCCUUCUGGACUGACACUGACGCUGAGGUGCGAAAGCGUGGGUAGCAAACAGGAGUAGAUACCCUGGUAGUC